GAUGAACGCUGGCGGCGUGCCUAAUACAUGCAAGUCGAGCGAACGGACGAGAAGCUUGCUUCUCUGAUGUUAGCGGCGGACGGGUGAGUAACACGUGGAUAACCUACCUAUAAGACUGGGAUAACUUCGGGAAACCGGAGCUAAUACCGGAUAAUAUUUUGAACCGCAUGGUUCAAAAGUGAAAGACGGUCUUGCUGUCACUUAUAGAUGGAUCCGCGCUGCAUUAGCUAGUUGGUAAGGUAACGGCUUACCAAGGCAACGAUGCAUAGCCGACCUGAGAGGGUGAUCGGCCACACUGGAACUGAGACACGGUCCAGACUCCUACGGGAGGCAGCAGUAGGGAAUCUUCCGCAAUGGGCGAAAGCCUGACGGAGCAACGCCGCGUGAGUGAUGAGGGUCUUCGGAUCGUAAAACUCCGUUAUUAGGGAAGAACAUAUGUGUAAGUAACUGUGCACAUCUUGACGGUACCUAAUCAGAAAGCCACGGCUAACUACGUG
RNAcentral lists this ribosomal RNA (497 nucleotides) under uncultured bacterium. RNAcentral describes it as "partial 16S ribosomal RNA". It matches the Rfam family "Bacterial small subunit ribosomal RNA", at positions 28 to 507 of the family's 1533-position model. The record is from RNAcentral.